GAAAGGCUUCGGCCGGACAGGGAUGGGCAUGCGGCGCAUUAGGCAGUAGGCGGGGUAACGGCCCACCUAACCGACGAUGCGUAGGGGUUCUGAGAGGAAGGUCCCCCACACUGGUACUGAGACACGGACCAGACUCCUACGGGAGGCAGCAGUGAGGAAUAUUGGUCAAUGGUCGGGAGACUGAACCAGCCAAGCCGCGUGAGGGAUGAAGGUACAGAGUAUCGUAAACCUCUUUUGUCAGGGAACAAAGGCGGGGACGUGUCCCCGGAUGAGUGUACCUGAAGAAAAAGCAUCGGCUAACUCCGUGCCAGCAGCCGCGGUAAUACGGAGGAUGCGAGCGUUAUCCGGAUUUAUUGGGUUUAAAGGGUGCGCAGGCGGUCUGUUAAGUCAGCGGUCAAAGCCCGGGGCUCAACCCCGGCCCGCCGUUGAAACUGGCAGUCUCGAGUUGGAGAGAAGUAUGCGGAAUGCGCGGUGUAGCGGUGAAAUGCAUAGAUAUCGCGCAGAACUCCGAUUGCGAAGGCAGCAUGCCGGCUCCACACUGACGCUGAGGCACGAAAGCGUGGGUAUCGAACAGGAUUAGAUACCCUGGUAGUCCACGCAGUAAACGAUGAAUGCUGGCUGUCCGGGGGGACUGACCCC
This 639-nucleotide ribosomal RNA is filed under the name uncultured bacterium. RNAcentral's name for it is "bacterial SSU rRNA". It matches the Rfam family "Bacterial small subunit ribosomal RNA", at positions 202 to 839 of the family's 1533-position model. The record is from RNAcentral.